AUACGUAGGUGGCGAGCGUUGUCCGGAUUUACUGGGUGUAAAGGGCGAGUAGGCGGGUAAACAAGUCAGAUGUGAAAUACCGAGGCUCAACUUCGGGGCUGCAUUUGAAACUGUUUAUCUUGAGUGAUGGAGAGGCAGGCGGAAUUCCCCGUGUAGCGGUAAAAUGCAUAGAGAUUGGGAGGAACACCAGUGGAGAAGGCGGCCUGCUGGACAUCAACUGACGCUGAGGAGCGAAAGUGUGGGGAGCAAACAGGAUUAGAUACCCUGGUAGUCCACACCGUAAACGAUGGAUACUAGGUGUGCGGGGACUGACCCCCUGCGUGCCGGAGUUAACACAUUAAGUAUCCCACCUGGGGAGUACGAUCGCAAGAUUGAAACUCAAAUGAAUUGACGGGG
Molecule: ribosomal RNA, 396 nt
Filed under: uncultured bacterium
Lineage: Bacteria
Description: partial 16S ribosomal RNA
Rfam family: Bacterial small subunit ribosomal RNA
Source: RNAcentral